RNAcentral lists this ribosomal RNA (305 nucleotides) under uncultured bacterium. Its description in RNAcentral is "bacterial SSU rRNA". It matches the Rfam family "Bacterial small subunit ribosomal RNA", at positions 334 to 655 of the family's 1533-position model. The record is from RNAcentral.
UUUACCUACGGGGGGCAGCAGUCGGGAAUAUUGCGCAAUGGAGGAAACUCUGACGCAGUGACGCCGCGUAUAGGAAGAAGGUUGUCGGAUUGUAAACUAUUGUAGACAGGGCAGAAGAAAGACAGUACCUGUAGAGUAAGCUCCGUCUAACUACGUGCCAGCAGCCGCGGUAAUACGUAGGGAGCAAGCGUUAUCCGGAAUUAUUGGGUGUAAAGGGUGCGUAGACGGGAAUACACGUUAGUUGUGAAAUCCCUCGGCUUAAGUGAGGAACUGCAACUAAAACUAUAUUUCUGUAGUGCGCGAGG